Molecule: long non-coding RNA, 786 nt
Organism: Brassica napus (rape)
Lineage: Eukaryota; Viridiplantae; Streptophyta; Magnoliopsida; Brassicales; Brassicaceae
Exons: 2
Source: RefSeq, a predicted model, not a curated record
AAAAACCUUGACCUUUUGGACACAAGUACACAUGUUCUGUUUUAUGUGCUUAGACUGGUGUUUAUAUAAAUCAAAACUUUGUUUUCCCAAAUUUUGUUCUAAGAUUGUCUUUAAUUCACCCUUUUGAUUCUUCUUUCAGGAUCUCCGAUCAAUCUCCCUACCAAGAAUUGGUUUUAAAGGUUUUACUUGCCAAUGAGUGACGUUCCAUACAUAUUUCCAUGGUGAGCCACGAAGCCGUUUGCUUCAUAGUGGAUGGAGCGUGUUUGUUUCAUUGAUGUGAAGUAUCUAAUUUUUCUAUAGAGGCGAGGAUGUGGAAUCACUUGAGAAAGUAUUAAAAAGGACGAAUUAAGUAAGAGGGAAGAUUCAAUGCAGAAAAAUGUAUCAAUGGAUCAGUUGCAGUCACCAAUUUAUAUUAAAAUGAACAGGGGAGGAGCUUGAUAUUUUCGUAAACGAUGGAGGCUGCAUCAUGGAGAAUCGGGGAUGGUCUCUCAAGUGGCAUCUGGAGCUAUACAGUGUCUUUAUAAUUAAUCCAACUCUCAUGCCAGAUUUUUUUAUCAAUCUCAUAAAAAAAAUUUAUGUAUUUUUCUCUGUUUUUCAAUAAAUGUUGAGAGCUUUGCAAAUCUAUCAAGAACACUUAGCAAUUGUAAAGGAGAGUCCUUUUAUUCACGUUUGAUAUCGUAACACCAUUUAUAUGUAACGACAUAGUAUGUAUCUUACAGCUAUACACACUAAGUUACAGAAUGUAACCGACCUAUAUAUGGCCAAAUACUUCAUUAAGGUUACAAA